Molecule: ribosomal RNA, 305 nt
Filed under: uncultured bacterium
Lineage: Bacteria
Description: bacterial SSU rRNA
Rfam family: Bacterial small subunit ribosomal RNA
Source: RNAcentral
GCCUACGGGGGGCAGCAGUCGAGAAUCAUUCACAAUGGGGGAAACCCUGAUGGUGCGACGCCGCGUGGGGGAAUGAAGGUCUUCGGAUUGUAAACCCCUGUCAUGUGGGAGCAAAUUAAAAAGAUAGUACCACAAGAGGAAGAGACGGCUAACUCUGUGCCAGCAGCCGCGGUAAUACAGAGGUCUCAAGCGUUGUUCGGAAUCACUGGGCGUAAAGCGUGCGUAGGCUGUUUCGUAAGUCGUGUGUGAAAGGCGCGGGCUCAACCCGCGGACGGCACAUGAUACUACGAGACUAGAGUAAUGGG